RNAcentral lists this ribosomal RNA (321 nucleotides) under Bacillus toyonensis. RNAcentral's name for it is "bacterial SSU rRNA". It matches the Rfam family "Bacterial small subunit ribosomal RNA", at positions 59 to 350 of the family's 1533-position model. The record is from RNAcentral. Lineage: Bacteria; Bacillati; Bacillota; Bacilli; Caryophanales; Bacillaceae.
UAAAAUGUCCCCUAAAGCCGGGAAUGGGGAUUGAGAGCUUGCUCUCAAGAAGUUAGCGGCGGACGGGUGAGUAACACGUGGGUAACCUGCCCAUAAGACUGGGAUAACUCCGGGAAACCGGGGCUAAUACCGGAUAACAUUUUGAACUGCAUGGUUCGAAAUUGAAAGGCGGCUUCGGCUGUCACUUAUGGAUGGACCCGCGUCGCAUUAGCUAGUUGGUGAGGUAACGGCUCACCAAGGCAACGAUGCGUAGCCGACCUGAGAGGGUGAUCGGCCACACUGGGACUGAGACACGGCCCAGACUCCUACGGGAGGCAGCCA